Long non-coding RNA from Carya illinoinensis, 783 nucleotides. RefSeq lists it as uncharacterized. The transcript is spliced from 3 exons. Lineage: Eukaryota; Viridiplantae; Streptophyta; Magnoliopsida; Fagales; Juglandaceae. The record is from RefSeq and is a predicted model, not a curated record.
AUGUCAAACCCUAAUAGCCCCUUUCUCCUUUUCCUCACCUUUCUCUUUCACCCCGUGCCGUUCCUCUCCCUCUCAUUCUUCCCCUAAUGCAUAGAACCCGCCUCCGCGAUAGCUCUCUCUCUCUCUCUCUCUACACAAUGGGUUUUCUGUUGUCACUCUCUGUCAUCCAUUGUUUGUGCCAUGCCAUCCUAUCUAAGGCUGCCCAUAAGUCUCUGUCUCAGUCUCUCUCUCUCUCUCUCUCUUUCUUUAUUUCUCUCUCCCCCAAGUCUUUCGAUAUCUAACCCAGUGACAUCAUGUCAUCACUCUCUAUCCUAGUUUCUGCUUUCACUUGUUGUUGCAUAGCAGGACGGUGUCCAUGCCUAUUGAUGACCCUGUGCUAUAGUUCCCGUGAUGAGCAACUCUGCUUUGUCUAGCCUCGCCUAUUGUCUUUGGCACCUUUGGUUGCUUUGGACGAGGCAGAUCAACAAUCUCACUUUUAAGCAUGGAAAUUGCAAUAGAUACAGUUGGCCUAUCUUUAGCAAAAUCUUGAACACACAAUAGCCCAACAUGUAUGCAUCUCAAGAUCUCCAUUUCAUUGCAUGGCUCAGAUAUCACGGGGUCUACCAAGGCCGCAAUUUUGUUGGCGUUCCACAUUUUCCAUACCUAGAAACAUGAAAACAUGAUUGAAAUUUGUUUGAUAAUGUGGAGAGAACAAAAUACCUUUGGAGUGAUCUUCAACCGAGGUCGUGAUAUAUUGUGUUUUCAAUACCACUUAAUUAAAUAUUUUGGGCUCAAAUUCUCACA